UUUCGGCUGUCACUUACAGAUGGGCCCGCGGCGCAUUAGCUAGUUGGUGAGGUAACGGCUCACCAAGGCCACGAUGCGUAGCCGACCUGAGAGGGUGAUCGGCCACACUGGGACUGAGACACGGCCCAGACUCCUACGGGAGGCAGCAGUAGGGAAUCUUCCGCAAUGGACGAAAGUCUGACGGAGCAACGCCGCGUGAGUGAUGAAGGUUUUCGGAUCGUAAAACUCUGUUGUUAGGGAAGAACAAGUAUCGGAGUAACUGCCGGUACCUUGACGGUACCUAACCAGAAAGCCACGGCUAACUACGUGCCAGCAGCCGCGGUAAUACGUAGGUGGCAAGCGUUGUCCGGAAUUAUUGGGCGUAAAGCGCGCGCAGGUGGUUCCUUAAGUCUGAUGUGAAAGCCCACGGCUCAACCGUGGAGGGUCAUUGGAAACUGGGGAACUUGAGUGCAGAAGAGGAAAGUGGAAUUCCAAGUGUAGCGGUGAAAUGCGUAGAGAUUUGGAGGAACACCAGUGGCGAAGGCGACUUUCUGGUCUGUAACUGACACUGAGGC
RNAcentral lists this ribosomal RNA (554 nucleotides) under Cytobacillus horneckiae. RNAcentral's name for it is "bacterial SSU rRNA". It matches the Rfam family "Bacterial small subunit ribosomal RNA", at positions 208 to 752 of the family's 1533-position model. Lineage: Bacteria; Bacillati; Bacillota; Bacilli; Caryophanales; Bacillaceae. The record is from RNAcentral.